This 490-nucleotide ribosomal RNA is filed under the name uncultured bacterium. RNAcentral describes it as "partial 16S ribosomal RNA". It matches the Rfam family "Bacterial small subunit ribosomal RNA", at positions 30 to 507 of the family's 1533-position model. The record is from RNAcentral.
AUUGAACGCUGGCGGCAGGCCUAACACAUGCAAGUCGAACGGUAACAGGAAGAAGCUUGCUUCUUUGCUGACGAGUGGCGGACGGGUGAGUAAUGUCUGGGAAACUGCCUGAUGGAGGGGGAUAACUACUAGAAACGGUAGCUAAUACCGCAUAACGUCGCAAGACCAAAAAGGGGGACCUUCGGGCCUCUUGCCAUCGGAUGUGCCCAGAUGGGAUUAGCUAGUAGGUGGGGUAACGGCUCACCUAGGCGACGAUCCCUAGCUGGUCUGAGAGGAUGACCAGCCACACUGGAACUGAGACACGGUCCAGACUCCUACGGGAGGCAGCAGUGGGGAAUAUUGCACAAAGGGCGCAAGCCUGAUGCAGCCAUGCCGCGUGUAUGAAGAAGGCCUUCGGGUUGUAAAGUACUUUCAGCGGGGAGGAAGGGAGUAAAGUUAAUACCUUAGCUCAUUGACGUUACCCGCAGAAGAAGCACCGGCUAACUCCGUG